GGAACGCCCUAAGAGGUUGUGCUUGCAGGGUUGGUUGGAAGCGGUUGGCGGGCGGGCGUAUGGCGGCCAGGCCUUGAAGGUCAGAAGCGCCGUGGGGUCAGUCUUUGUGAAGCCUCAAGUCAUGAAGGCCAGGUGAGAGGGUCGGGGACUGCCAUGGACCAGCCCUGCCAUGCACCAGUCCGCCAUGCACCAGCCCUUGGGCUCAUCAUGGCGGUGGGCUAACCCACUUCAGGGAGGGUGACCGCUGAGGCACAGCUGAGAGAGAUUCCAGGGCCUGGAGGUGGUGAGCCAGGACCCUGGAGAGAGGGCUGCCCGCCCAGAUGCUGCCGAGCAGUACAGGAUGGACCAAGAGUUCAUUUCCUUACCAAGGAUGCUGAACCCAGCACAAGGUGGAAGUGGUUGAAAACCCCCAGUCAGUCGGAUGAGUGCAGCUGUCAGCUGAGGCUCAACUGCUCACCAGCAGAGGGGCCAGAUGUUUGAGAAGCUGAGCCACUAAAAGACAGCCGUAUGGCCUGGCCAAAGGACUGAGGGACACCGUGUGUGGUUUUCCAAAUCAUCCCCACUAAAAUAACUCGCCGGCUCAGGACAACGCCUAAAGAGACCAACAACUGUUUCCAAAUGAGUGUUUUGAAGUCUUCAGCACUGAGCUGCCUUCGAAGAGCUGGCUUUGCCUAUGUGGCAUGGAACCUCAUGAAUGCCCCUUCCUGAUUUGAAGCCUGUACCGUUUCAACCUCUUCUACUUGGGGCACAACUUUUCCCCCCAAAGGAAAGUUUUGCUAAGCAGGAAAGGUUGGGGGAAAUUCUUAUCUUUUGGAGGACUAGGAGUGAACUUGGACAACAUGAGAAGCAAGUGUUCUGCCUUCAGUCCCCGUACGAACUUGCCCACACUUGGAGUCACCAGUAUUACAGACAUGAACUGCCAUGCUCAGUGCCGAAGGGCUUCUUGACUAACCUGUGCAAGACCGAGCUCUAGGAGUAAGGCCAAGCCGCUUUGCGAGUUGUCAGUUGUGUGCCCCCCCCCCACGUGCAUGGAAUAACACCUGCCAAUAAACUUGUGUGGAA
Molecule: long non-coding RNA, 1062 nt
Organism: Nannospalax galili (Upper Galilee mountains blind mole rat)
Lineage: Eukaryota; Metazoa; Chordata; Mammalia; Rodentia; Spalacidae
Exons: 5
Source: RefSeq, a predicted model, not a curated record